AGGACAGAAAUGUUCACAAAAUGCUUGAACUUGUUUUGAAACUGCCAUGCUUUCUAUACAGGAGUUAAUCAGAGGGCAGUCUGUACCUUCAUAUUUUUCCAACUGCACAACAAAUCCAACCAGCCUACAGUUACUGCACCAACAUCGGUUAGCUGACUGCAGAUGGGUUUCCAUCUUUACUUACCAGCUUAAUUUCACUGAGGGAACUUCUGUUGAAUGAUCAAAUUGAAAGCUUCUUAAAUGCCCAGGUAAAGUAUAUUGACCAGACACUCAACACAGCAUCCUUACUGAUGUCUUCAAAGAACUUAAGUAGACUUGUGGUGAUUACUUUUCUCCAACAUAUUAAUGCUAGCUAUCUUCUGAUAUGUUUAUUUAUGUGUGGACUAAUUCUGUUCUCUGUUAUACGUCUGACUUAAUGCAGUGGUCAGUCUUAAUAGCCUGUGGUCUCCUGGGGCUAAUUAGGAAAGUAGGCUUCACAGUUGCUGCCUUUCAUUCCCCUGGCACAAUAAUUAACUACAGCAGUAAGCUUAUCUGUUAGAAAUGCAAAGUAUUUUUUUAUCUUUUAUAACUCUUGGCUAAGUCACUGCAAUAUUGUCUAACAUAUUGAAUAUUCAAUAAUAGCUGGGAUGUGGGGGGGUUAGGGAAGUAAGAAAAAAGAAUGCUUGAAUUCUAUUUUAUUUUAGCAUGUUUUAUAGUACUAGACUUGUCAGUGCUGGAUUCUGUUCCCAGUUUAACUACAGAUUUCUACUGUAACUGAGUUCCUAAAUUCCUGCUGUAAAAGAUUGUUUUGGUUCAUUGAGAGUUAAGUAUUUCCAUACCAAACAGAAUUCUAAUUAUCCCUUAUACUGUAAGCACCCAGUUUAUUUUGGGAGACAAUAGUAUGUAGCAGCAAAAGGGCAGCAAAAUUAUUGCAAUAUUAAUAAAAAUGCAUCACAACAGUCA
This 942-nucleotide long non-coding RNA is filed under the name Phasianus colchicus (ring-necked pheasant). RNAcentral's name for it is "lncRNA (ENSPCLG00000001134.1)". The record is from RNAcentral. Lineage: Eukaryota; Metazoa; Chordata; Aves; Galliformes; Phasianidae.